This 494-nucleotide ribosomal RNA is filed under the name uncultured soil bacterium. RNAcentral's name for it is "bacterial SSU rRNA". It matches the Rfam family "Bacterial small subunit ribosomal RNA", at positions 26 to 521 of the family's 1533-position model. The record is from RNAcentral.
AGAUUGAACGCUGGCGGCAGGCCUAACACAUGCAAGUCGAGCGGUAGAGAGGUGCUUGCAUCUCUUGAGAGCGGCGGACGGGUGAGUAAUGCCUAGGAAUCUGCCUAGUGGUGGGGGAUAACGUUCGGAAACGGACGCUAAUACCGCAUACGUCCUACGGGAGAAAGCGGGGGACCUUCGGGCCUCGCGCCAUUAGAUGAGCCUAGGUCGGAUUAGCUAGUUGGUGAGGUAAUGGCUCACCAAGGCGACGAUCCGUAACUGGUCUGAGAGGAUGAUCAGUCACACUGGAACUGAGACACGGUCCAGACUCCUACGGGAGGCAGCAGUGGGAAUAUUGGACAAUGGGCGAAAGCCUGAUCCAGCCAUGCCGCGUGUGUGAAGAGGUCUUCGGAUUGUAAAGCACUUUAAGUGGAGAAGGUUGUAACCUAAUACGUUGACAACUUGACGUUACCGACUAGAAUAAGCACCGGCUAACUCGUGCCAGCAGCCGUACG